This 274-nucleotide ribosomal RNA is filed under the name uncultured bacterium. RNAcentral's name for it is "partial 16S ribosomal RNA". It matches the Rfam family "Bacterial small subunit ribosomal RNA", at positions 523 to 796 of the family's 1533-position model. The record is from RNAcentral.
AUACGGAGGGUGCAAGCGUUAUUCGGAAUCACUGGGCGUAAAGGGUGCGUAGGCGGUUUGAUAAGUCUGAUGUGAAAUCUUAUGGCUCAACCAUAGAACUGCAUUGGAAACUGUCAGACUAGAAUACUGAAGGGGCAGAUGGAAUUAGUGGUGUAGGGGUAAAAUCCGUAGAUAUCACUAGGAAUACCGAAAGCGAAAGCGAUCUGCUGGGAAGUUAUUGACGCUGAGGCACGAAAGCGUGGGGAGCAAACGGGAUUAGAAACCCCAGUAGUCC